AUACCAUGACGAGGACAUCUCCUGAGUAAUUCCUUAAAUCUUUCCCAAGCAUCAUACAAGCUUUCAUCUUCUAGUUAAUAGAAGGAUGUGAUCUCGUUCCUCAAUUU
Molecule: small nucleolar RNA, 107 nt
Rfam family: Plant small nucleolar RNA R71
About the family: R71 is a member of the C/D box family of snoRNAs containing the C (UGAUGA) and D (CUGA) box motifs.
Source: Rfam